Molecule: ribosomal RNA, 103 nt
Filed under: uncultured bacterium
Lineage: Bacteria
Description: partial 16S ribosomal RNA
Rfam family: Bacterial small subunit ribosomal RNA
Source: RNAcentral
GUGGNGGAAUGGCCUACCAAGGCAACGAUCAGUAGCCGGCCUGAGAGGGUGAACGGCCACAUUGGGACUGAGACACGGCCCAAACUCCUACGGAAGGCAGCAG